This 59-nucleotide transfer RNA is filed under the name Rhodospirillaceae bacterium. RNAcentral's name for it is "tRNA-Met". It matches the Rfam family "tRNA", at positions 9 to 64 of the family's 71-position model. Rfam says of the family: Transfer RNA (tRNA) molecules are approximately 80 nucleotides in length. Their secondary structure includes four short double-helical elements and three loops (D, anti-codon, and T loops). The record is from RNAcentral. Lineage: Bacteria; Pseudomonadati; Pseudomonadota; Alphaproteobacteria; Rhodospirillales; Rhodospirillaceae.
AGCUCAAUCGGUUAGAGCCGGCCGCUCAUAACGGUCUGGUUGCAGGUUCGAGUCCUGCC